GAUGAACGCUGGCGGCGUGCCUAAUACAUGCAAGUCGAGCGAACGGACGAGAAGCUUGCUUCUCUGAUGUUAGCGGCGGACGGGUGAGUAACACGUGGAUAACCUACCUAUAAGACUGGGAUAACUUCGGGAAACCGGAGCUAAUACCGGAUGAUAUUUUGAACCGCAUGGUUCAAAAGUGAAAGACGGUCUUGCUGUCACUUAUAGAUGGAUCCGCGCUGCAUUAGCUAGUUGGUAAGGUAACGGCUUACCAAGGCAACGAUGCAUAGCCGACCUGAGAGGGUGAUCGGCCACACUGGAACUGAGACACGGUCCAGACUCCUACGGGAGGCAGCAGUAGGGAAUCUUCCGCAAUGGGCGAAAGCCUGACGGAGCAACGCCGCGUGAGUGAUGAAGGUCUUCGGAUCGUAAAACUCUGUUAUUAGGGAAGGACAUAUGUGUAAGUAACUGUGCACAUCUUGACGGUACCUAAUCAGAAAGCCACGGCUAACUACGUG
Molecule: ribosomal RNA, 497 nt
Filed under: uncultured bacterium
Lineage: Bacteria
Description: partial 16S ribosomal RNA
Rfam family: Bacterial small subunit ribosomal RNA
Source: RNAcentral